This 429-nucleotide ribosomal RNA is filed under the name Chloroflexota bacterium. RNAcentral describes it as "Chloroflexi bacterium partial 16S ribosomal RNA". It matches the Rfam family "Bacterial small subunit ribosomal RNA", at positions 355 to 776 of the family's 1533-position model. Lineage: Bacteria; Bacillati; Chloroflexota. The record is from RNAcentral.
UGGGGAAUAUUGCACAAUGGGCGCAAGCCUGAUGCAGCCAUGCCGCGUGUGUGAAGAAGGCCUUCGGGUUGUAAAGCACUUUCAGCGGGGAGGAAGGCGAUAAGGUUAAUAACCUUGUCGAUUGACGUUACCCGCAGAAGAAGCACCGGCUAACUCCGUGCCAGCAGCCGCGGUAAUACGGAGGGUGCAAGCGUUAAUCGGAAUUACUGGGCGUAAAGCGCACGCAGGCGGUCUGUCAAGUCGGAUGUGAAAUCCCCGGGCUCAACCUCGGAACUGCAUUCGAAACUGGCAUGCUUGAGUCUUGUAGAGGGGGGUAGAAUUCCAGGUGUAGCGGUGAAAUGCGUAGAGAUCUGGAGGAAUACCGGUGGCGAAUGCGGCCCCCUGGACAAAGACUGACGCUCAGGUGCGAAAGCGUGGGGAGCAAACAGG